Small nucleolar RNA from Phocoena sinus (vaquita), 67 nucleotides. The record is from Ensembl. Lineage: Eukaryota; Metazoa; Chordata; Mammalia; Artiodactyla; Phocoenidae.
UGGACCACUGAUGAUGACUGGAGGCAUAGGAGUUAUAUAUGGUGAAUACCAUGUAAAAUCUAUCCAU